AGACAAUUAACUUGUGUAUUUAAUUCUAGUUUUGCUAUUUCUAGAUUUUCUAAUAGAUUUUUUAAAGAUUGUGAAAUAAACAGGACUCUUCGCCUAUUAUUUUACUUUGAAUAAGGGUACUUCACCCUGGAGAAAUCUAUGGAAAUUGAUAAUUCCGCCCUAUCAAAGGAGGUCCUCGCUCAACCAACCUUCUGACUUCCUCGUUGUUAAUAGUUCUAGACCACAUACCAGGAUCCUCUGAUAGAAGAAUGGUACUUGUCAUCUCAGGGCCCAUUUCAGUCAAGGCUUCCGUUUCAUCUUCACUUGUAGCCUCUGUUGUUAAGUUGGAGAUACGGGCAUUACAUCGAUUAAAUAACAGAGGACGCGGACUAUAAUAGGUUGCUGGCAAACGACAUAUGCUGCGUUCUAGAUUUUUGGUCGCUGGAUAUCGAUCGGGCGCUAGCUUCACAGAUAUGAAAAAAUAUCUAGAACAACAACACAAGGUGACAACGUCGGAUACGUGCAUGAUAAAGAUA
This is a long non-coding RNA of Anthonomus grandis grandis, 515 nucleotides long. RefSeq lists it as uncharacterized. The record is from RefSeq and is a predicted model, not a curated record. NCBI's taxonomy places the organism in Eukaryota, Metazoa, Arthropoda, Insecta, Coleoptera, Curculionidae. The transcript is spliced from 3 exons.